GGAAUAUUGGACGAUGGGUGAGAGCCUGAUCCAGCCAUCCCGCGUGAAGGACGACGGCCCUAUGGAUUGUAAACUGCUUUUGCACAGGAAGAAACAACAUUACGUGUAAUGUCUUGACGGUACUGUGAGAAUAAGGAUCGGCUAACUCCGUGCCAGCAGCCGCGGUAAUACGGAGGAUCCAAGCGUUAUCCGGAAUCAUUGGGUUUAAAGGGUCCGUAGGCGGUCUUAUAAGUCAGUGGUGAAAUCUCCCCGCUCAACGGGGAAACGGCCAUUGAUACUGUAGGACUUGAAUUAUUAGGAAGUAACUAGAAUAUGUAGUGUAGCGGUGAAAUGCUUAGAGAUUACAUGGAAUACCAAUUGCGAAGGCAGGUUACUACUAAUGGAUUGACGCUGAUGGACGAAAGCGUGGGUAGCGAACAGGAUUAGAUACCCGGG
This 435-nucleotide ribosomal RNA is filed under the name uncultured Flavobacterium sp. Its description in RNAcentral is "bacterial SSU rRNA". It matches the Rfam family "Bacterial small subunit ribosomal RNA", at positions 358 to 790 of the family's 1533-position model. Lineage: Bacteria; Pseudomonadati; Bacteroidota; Flavobacteriia; Flavobacteriales; Flavobacteriaceae. The record is from RNAcentral.